This 253-nucleotide unclassified non-coding RNA is filed under the name uncultured Verrucomicrobiota bacterium. RNAcentral's name for it is "uncultured Verrucomicrobia bacterium contains 16S-23S intergenic spacer region". It matches the Rfam family "Bacterial small subunit ribosomal RNA", at positions 524 to 776 of the family's 1533-position model. The record is from RNAcentral. Lineage: Bacteria; Pseudomonadati; Verrucomicrobiota.
UACGAAGGUCCCGAGCGUUGUUCGGAUUUACUGGGCGUAAAGCGUCUGUAGGCGGCGCGGCAAGUCAGAUGUGAAAUCCCGGAGCUCAACUCCGGAACUGCAUCCGAUACUGCCGUGCUAGAGUGUUGGAGGGGAGUCUGGAAUUCUCGGUGUAGCAGUGAAAUGCGUAGAUAUCGAGAGGAACACUAGUGGCGAAGGCGAGACUCUGGACAACAACUGACGCUGAGAGACGAAGGCCAGGGUAGCGAAAAGG